This 429-nucleotide ribosomal RNA is filed under the name Bacteroidota bacterium. RNAcentral's name for it is "Bacteroidetes bacterium partial 16S ribosomal RNA". It matches the Rfam family "Bacterial small subunit ribosomal RNA", at positions 355 to 776 of the family's 1533-position model. Lineage: Bacteria; Pseudomonadati; Bacteroidota. The record is from RNAcentral.
UAGGGAAUCUUCCGCAAUGGACGCAAGUCUGACGGAGCAACGCCGCGUGAGUGAAGAAGGAUUUCGGUUCGUAAACCUUUGUUGUUAGAGAAGAACAGCGUAUAGAGUAACUGUUAUGCGUGUGACGGUAUCUAACCAGAAAGCCACGGCUAACUACGUGCCAGCAGCCGCGGUAAUACGUAGGUGGCAAGCGUUGUCCGGAUUUAUUGGGCGUAAAGCGAGCGCAGGCGGUCAAUUAAGUCUGAUGUGAAAGCCCCCGGCUCAACCGGGGAGGGUAAUUGGAAGCAGGUUGACUUGAGUGCAGAAGAGGAGAGGGGAAUUCGAUGUGUAGCGGUGAAAUGCGUAGAUAUAUGGAGGAACACCAGUGGCGAAGGCGACACUAUGGUCUGUAACUGACGCAAAGGUUCGAAAGCGUGGGUAGCAAACAGG